Molecule: ribosomal RNA, 484 nt
Filed under: uncultured bacterium
Lineage: Bacteria
Description: partial 16S ribosomal RNA
Rfam family: Bacterial small subunit ribosomal RNA
Source: RNAcentral
AUUGAACGCUGGCGGCAUGCUUUACACAUGCAAGUCGAACGGCAGCGCGGGCUUCGGCCUGGCGGCGAGUGGCGAACGGGUGAGUAAUACAUCGGAACGGGCACCGUAGUGGGGGAUAGCUCGGCGAAAGCCGGAUUAAUACCGCAUACGAACUGAGGGGGAAAGCGGGGGAUCUUCGGACCUCGCGCUCUUGGAGCGGCCGAUGGCAGAUUAGCUAGUUGGUGGGGUAAAGGCCUACCAAGGCGACGAUCUGUAGCUGGUCUGAGAGGAUGACCAGCCACACUGGGACUGAGACACGGCCCAGACUCCUACGGGAGGCAGCAGUGGGGAAUUUUGGACAAUGGGCGAAAGCCUGAUGCAGCAAUGCCGCGUGUGUGAUGAAGGCCUUCGGGUUGUAAAGUACUUUUGGCGGGAACGAAAAGGACUGUGCCAAUACCACGGUUCGAUGACGGUACCCGCAGAAUAAGCACCGGCUAACUACGUG